GACGAACGCUGGCGGCGUGCUUAACACAUGCAAGUCGAACGGAAAGUGCUCUUCGGAGUGACUCGAGUGGCGAACGGGUGAGUAACACGUGGGUGAUCUGCCCUGCACUUCGGGAUAAGCCUGGGAAACUGGGUCUAAUACCGGAUAGGACCUCGGGAUGCAUGUCCUGUGGUGGAAAGCUUUUGCGGUGUGGGAUGGGCCCGCGGCCUAUCAGGUUGUUGGUGGGGUGAUGGCCUACCAAGGCGACGACGGGUAGCCGGCCUGAGAGGGUGAGCGGCCACACUGGGACUGAGAUACUGGCCAGGCUCCUACGGGGGGCAGCAGGGGGGAAUAAUGCACAAUGGGCGCAAGCCUGAUGCAGCGACGCCGCGGGAGGGAUGACGGCCUUCGGGUUGUAAACCUCUUUCAGCAUCGACGAAGCGAAAGUGACGGUAGGUGCAGAAGAAGGACCGGCCAACUACGUGCCAGCAGCCGCGGUAA
RNAcentral lists this ribosomal RNA (480 nucleotides) under uncultured bacterium. RNAcentral's name for it is "partial 16S ribosomal RNA". It matches the Rfam family "Bacterial small subunit ribosomal RNA", at positions 28 to 523 of the family's 1533-position model. The record is from RNAcentral.